CCUACGGGAGGCAGCAGUUGGGGAUCUUGCGCAAUGGGGGCAACCCUGACGCAGCAACGCCGCGUGAGUGAUGAAGGCCUUCGGGUCGUAAAGCUCUGUCAGAGGGGAAGAAAUGCAGGUGGUGAACAACCAUUCUGUUUGACGGUACCCUCAAAGGAAGCACCGGCUAACUCCGUGCCAGCAGCCGCGGUAAUACGGAGGGUGCGAGCGUUGUUCGGAAUUAUUGGGCGUAAAGCGCGUGUAGGCGGUUUGUUAAGUCUGAGGUGAAAGCCCCGGACUCAACCGGGGAAGUGCAUUGGAUACUGGCAGACUUGAGUACGGGAGAGGAGAGUGGAAUUCCCAGUGUAGGAGUGAAAUCCGUAGAUAUGGGGAGGAACACCGGUGGCGAAGGCGGCUCUCGGGACCGAUACUGACGCUGAGGUGCGAAAGCCAGGGGAGCGAACGGGAUUAGAUACCCCGGUAGU
This 464-nucleotide ribosomal RNA is filed under the name uncultured Geobacteraceae bacterium. RNAcentral's name for it is "partial 16S ribosomal RNA". It matches the Rfam family "Bacterial small subunit ribosomal RNA", at positions 338 to 794 of the family's 1533-position model. Lineage: Bacteria; Pseudomonadati; Thermodesulfobacteriota; Desulfuromonadia; Geobacterales; Geobacteraceae. The record is from RNAcentral.